GUGGGUCUGCAGGUGCAGAGGCUCCGUGAGAGGUGUCGUCUUACCAGCUGGGGGCUAGGCCCUGGGGCCCGAGCAGGCUGACUGGUGCCUUUCGUGCUGUGCUCUGCCGAUGUGUUCCGGGAGCAGAAGCCCCGCCGUGGUGCCUUCACUCUAGACAGAGAGAGAUACAGCCUGGCGCCCUGAGAGAUGACAGCCACGUGUCCCUGAGAGAUGACAGCCUGGUGUCCAUGAGAGAUACAGCCACGUGUCCCUGAGAGAUGACAGCCUGGUGUCCAUGAGAGAUACAGCCACGUGCCCCUGAGAGAUACAGCCUGGUGCCCUGAGAGAUACAGCCUGGUGCCCCUGAGAGAGAAUAGCCUGGUGCCCCUGAGAGAUGACAGCCUGGUGCCCCUGAGAGAUGACAGCCUGGCGCCCCUGAGAGAGAAUAGCCUGGUGCCCCUGAGGGAGAACAGCCUGGUGCCCCUGAGAGAUGACAGCCUGGUGCCCCUGAGAGAUGACAGCCUGGUGCCCCUGAGAGAUGACAGCCUGGUGUCUCUGAGAGGCAUGUCUUGGCUCCCAGGUCGGCCUUAGAUCUGGAACUGUUGAAGGAAGUCCCAAGGCCGUGAGUCCCUGACCUUUGGGAUGACUUGGCAUCUGGGUUUGCCGAUAUGUCUCCCCAAGAUUCUCUUGGUGUUAGUGGACAGCAGAGGAGCAGAGGAUGGAGAGGGAGUCCCCGCGGGAAGCGUCAUCUCCUGCCGUGACUCAGGGCAUCAUGGAUCAGCUCUUCACACAGGAGAUGAGAGGGAAGGAGCUGGGGCUGGGCUCCACGUCAGCUGGCUCUGAGUCUUGACAGCAGUGCCCCGAGAAGCCAUGGACAGGGAAGGC
This 864-nucleotide long non-coding RNA is filed under the name Ursus maritimus (polar bear). Its description in RNAcentral is "lncRNA (ENSUMAG00000003487.1)". Lineage: Eukaryota; Metazoa; Chordata; Mammalia; Carnivora; Ursidae. The record is from RNAcentral.